Molecule: ribosomal RNA, 371 nt
Filed under: uncultured organism
Description: partial 16S ribosomal RNA
Rfam family: Bacterial small subunit ribosomal RNA
Source: RNAcentral
GUAGGUGGCAAGCGUUGUCCGGAAUUAUUGGGCGUAAAGCGCGCGCAGGCGGUUCUUUAAGUCUGAUGUGAAAGCCCACGGCUCAACCGUGGAGGGUCAUUGGAAACUGGAGAACUUGAGUGCAGAAGAGGAAAGCGGAAUUCCACGUGUAGCGGUGAAAUGCGUAGAGAUGUGGAGGAACACCAGUGGCGAAGGCGGCUUUCUGGUCUGUAACUGACGCUGAGGCGCGAAAGCGUGGGGGAGCAAACAGGAUUAGAUACCCUGGUAGUCCACGCCGUAAACGAUGAGUGCUAAGUGUUAGGGGGUUUCCGCCCCUUAGUGCUGCAGCUAACGCAUUAAGCACUCCGCCUGGGAGUACGACCGCAAGGUUG